This 494-nucleotide ribosomal RNA is filed under the name Branchinecta piurae. RNAcentral's name for it is "Branchinecta sp. 1 MV-2022a partial large subunit ribosomal RNA". It matches the Rfam family "Archaeal large subunit ribosomal RNA", at positions 1925 to 2666 of the family's 2987-position model. The record is from RNAcentral. Lineage: Eukaryota; Metazoa; Arthropoda; Branchiopoda; Anostraca; Branchinectidae.
GGCCUUGUAUAUAUGUAAGGUCUGGCCUGCCCACUGAUUUUUUGAAGGGCCGUGGUAUUUUAACCAUGCGAAGGUAGCAUAAUCAUUUGCCUCUUAAUUGGGGGCUAGUAUGAAGGGUCGUUCGAGGGAUUAACUGUCUCUAGCUCUUAUUUGAAAUUAAUUUUUUAGUGAAAAAGCUAAAAUAUACUUGAAGGACGAUAAGACCCUAUAGAUCUUUAUAAAAACAAAAUUAGAAAUUGGUUGUAAAUUCUUUUCAGUCCUUUUUAUUGAGUUGGGGCGACACUAGAUGUAGACUUAACAUCUAGUCUAUUUAUACACUAACAGGUGUCUAUGAGAUCCUGUUAUGAGAAAAGGAGAUAGUUACCUUAGGGAUAACAGCGUAAUGGUUUUUGAAAGUUCAAAUUGACAAAACCGUUUACGACCUCGAUGUUGGUUCAGGGACCCUGUUCAGCGCAGUAGCUUUAUAAGGGAGUCUGUUCGACUCUUAAAUCCCU